GUGGGGAAUCUUGCGCAAUGGGCGAAAGCCUGACGCAGCAACGCCGCGUGGGGGAUGAAGGCUCUCGGGUUGUAAACCCCUUUCAGCAGGGACGAAUCAAGACGGUACCUGCAGAAGAAGCCCCGGCUAACUACGUGCCAGCAGCCGCGGUAACACGUAGGGGGCAAGCGUUGUCCGGAUUUAUUGGGCGUAAAGAGCUCGUAGGUGGCUGAGUAAGUCGGAUGUCAAAUCCCCAGGCUCAACCUGGGAUCCCAUCCGAUACUGCUCUGGCUAGAGUCCGGUAGGGGAGCGUGGAAUUCCUGGUGUAGCGGUGAAAUGCGCAGAUAUCAGGAGGAACACCAGCGGCGAAGGCGGCGCUCUGGGCCGGUACUGACACUGAGGAGCGAAAGCGUGGGUAGCAAACAGGAUUAGAAACCCGAGUAGUCC
Molecule: ribosomal RNA, 426 nt
Filed under: uncultured bacterium
Lineage: Bacteria
Description: bacterial SSU rRNA
Rfam family: Bacterial small subunit ribosomal RNA
Source: RNAcentral